This is a long non-coding RNA of Saccostrea cuccullata (small rock oyster), 3352 nucleotides long. RefSeq lists it as uncharacterized. Lineage: Eukaryota; Metazoa; Mollusca; Bivalvia; Ostreida; Ostreidae. The transcript has 4 exons. The record is from RefSeq and is a predicted model, not a curated record.
UUUGUGAUUCCUGUGAAAAAAGGAACGUUUUUUGCCAGCAGAAGACUUUCAGAUUGGUUUGCUGCUUUGUUUUUACUACAAAUUCCACUUGUCAGAAGAUGUAUUUAAUUUGAAUUCAGUUGAUAUGAAUAAUAAGGACAUAAUACUAAUAGAAUGUGGUAUUUUCCCGUCCAGUUCUGAAAAUAGGGAAAUUUGAUCCACACAUUUUUCUCUGCCGUUGAAACAAAACAGUGACUGAGUGAUGUACGAAGAAGAAAUUUGGUGUCAAGUGCCAUUCCUUAUUUUAAAAAAAAUCUGGUGAAUCAUAAUUCAUUCCAUGAGAAGCAGAAAUCCAACAGACUGAUCCCUGAGUCAAUGGUGUACUCAAAAUACACAAAGGCUAGAGGACUUGUUCUUCCUGGAACCUCUCUUUGCACCAGCCUGUCUCAUGAAGUUGAAUGCUCAAACAAUAUGAAGAGGGUGAAAAUCUAGCUGACAAUCAAAACAGGAAAUGUGAUCAGGCUCAGCCACACCUUCAUGAACAUAAAGAGCUACUUCAUUCAAGGCCAUGAUAUGUUCUAACAGCUGAUUUAAUGAAAGAGGUUAUUGAACAAUCUCUGAAAACUGUCAAGUAAAGAGUCAGAGCAAUUGUAGAUACAUGCACAGAAAAUGAAGAAAAAACUCUACUGAAACCAUGGCUUAGAUAUCAACAUAAAAUAACUUCUUUUCUCAAGUAUAUCUCUUUCCCAAGUAUUCCAAAAGUGGAUCUUUAUCAAAUUCAAAGUGAAGUAUCACAGGGAGCAUGUGAGAUUGUGAAACAGUCUGCCUACAAAAAUUAAAAGGGAGGAAAACAUAUACAGGUGUACCAAAGAUGGCUGCACACUAUUGUUCUCUAUAUAUUUUCCCUAUGGUUUUCAUGUACAGUAUUCUUUGUGAUUGUUACAUGUAAGUUGGGUGCAGUAGUAGACUUCUCCUAACCUUGUGUAGAAUUUUACAAUUUAAAUUCUGAGGUAAAAUCCUGUUUUUAGUGUUCAUUCAGUUAUAGUAAUGGGCCACUAUCCUUUUUAGCUCACCUGAGCCGAAGGCUCAAGUGAGCUUUUCUGAUCACAUUUUGUCCGUCGUCCGUCCAUCCGUCUAGCUGUCCAGCUGUCCGUCUGUCGGUCUGUAAACUUUUCACAUUUUUGACUUCUUCUCAAGAACCACUGGGCCAAUUUUGACCAAACUUUGUACAAAGCAUCCUUGGGUAAAGGGGAAUUUAAAUUGUUAAAAUAAAUUAAAGGGCCAAGUCCCCUCACAAGGGGAGAUAAUCAAGAAAAGACAAAAAUAGGGUGGUCAUUAAAAAAUCUUCUUCUCAAGAACCACUGGGCCAGAAAAGCUGAAACUUAUGUGGAAGCAUCCUAGGGUAGUGUAGAUUCUAAAUUGUUCAAAUUAUGACCCCCGGGGGAAGGGCGGGGCCACAAUGGGGAAUCAAAGUUUUACAUAGAAAUAUAAAGGAAAAAUCUUUGAAAAUCUUCUUCUCAAGAACCACUGGGCCAGAAAAGCUGAAACUUAUGUGGAAGCAUCCUAGGGUAGUGUAGAUUCUGAAUUGUUCAAAUCAUGACCCCCGGGGGAAGGGCGGGGCCACAAUGGGGAAUCAAAGUUUUACAUAGAAAUAUAUAGGAAAAAUCUUUGAAAAUCUUCUUCUCAAGAACCACUGGGCCAGAAAAGCUUAAACUUAUGUGGAAGCAUCCUAGGGUAGUGUAGAUUCUAAAUUAUUCAAAUCAUGACCCCCGGGGGAAGGGUGGGGCCACAAUGGUGAAUCAAAGUUCUACAUAGAAAUAUAUAGGAAAAAUCUUUGAAAAUCUUCUUCUCAAGAACCACUGGGCCAGAAAAGCUGAAACUUAUGUGGAAGCAUCCUAGGGUAGUGUAGAUUCUAAAUUAUUCAAAUCAUGACCCCCUGGGGAAGGGUGAAUCAAAGUUUUACAUAGAAAUAAAUAGGAAAAAUCUUUGAAAAUCUUCUUCUCAAGAACCACUGGGCCAGAAAAGCUGAAAUGUAUGUGCACAUGGAAGGGUCAUGGGGUAGUGUAGAUUUCAAAAUGUCUAAAUUAUGAUCAGUGGGGUAGGGUGGGGGAUGCAUUAUGUAUUACAAGGCUUGAAAUCUGGUAAAGAACAGAAUGGUCAAAGCUUCUCAGGUGAGCGAUGUGGCCCAUGGGCCUCUUGUUAACGGCUUGAUGUCGAAAUAUCUCUCAGCAUUGAAUGCUUAUCAAAUUGUUUUAACCGAAUAAAAACGUAUCAUAUUUCCAAAACCAGAUUUGUUCUCUUUUUUAAAAAAAAAAACAACCUCUUUUUAGCUCACCUGAGCCAGAGGCUCGAAUGAGCUUUUCUGAUCAAAAUUUGUCUGUCGUUGUCGUCAUCCUAAACUGAUCACAUUUUCAUCUUCUUCUCAAGAACCACUGGGUCAAUUUCCACCAAACUUGCCACAAAAUAUCCUUGAGUGAAGGGGAUUCAAGUUUGUUUAAAUGAAGGGCCAAGCCUUCUACCAAGGGGGAGAUAAUUAUGAAUUAAUGAAAAAUUAAUGGCAUCUUUUAAAAAUCUUUUCAAGAACCAUUAGGCCAGGAAAGAUGAAACUCAUAUGGAAGCAUCCUUAGGUAGUUUAGAUUCAAUUUUCUUUAAAUCAUGACCCCCAGGGUUAGGGUUGGGCUACAAUUGAAGAUCAAAGAUUUACAUAAGAAUAUAUAGGCAAAAUCUUUGAAAAUCUUCUUCUCCAGAACCACUGGGCCAGAAAAGAGGAAACUGGUGUGAAAACAUCCUCAGGUAGUCAGGUAGUGUACCAGUAGAUUCAAGUUUGUUCAAAUCAUGACCCCUCAAUGGACGAUUUAAGUUUUUCACAGGAAUGAAUACACUGGAAAUUUUUAAAACUCUUCUUUUUAAGAACCACAAAGCCAUGAUUGGUCAUAUAUUUAAGUAAGCAUCCUCACGUAGUGUUGAUUCAAGUUUAAUUGUUCAAGUCAUGAACGGGAAGUAGGGGCUGGAUAGGAUGGGCCAUAAUUGGGGAUCAAAGUUUUGCCUAGAAAUAUAAAGGAAUUUUUUUUCCCAAGAACAGAACAGCCAUGUUUAAUCAUAUUGAAAUGGAGGCAUUCUCAGGUAGUACAAAGUCAUACAGGUUCAAAUGAGGGCUCAUAGGGGUAGUGCUGGACCACAAUGGGGAAAGGUCAAAUGAAUGAAUAGGGAAAAAAAUCAUCUGCGCAGAAACAGCAAAGGCAUUUGUUUUAUAGAAGCAUCAUCAGGUAGUUGGUAAUUUAAAAUUCCAGACUCCAACCACCAUGUAAACUUCUCAAUACUGAAAUGAUUUCUGUGUUAUUUCCUAGCCAAUGUGCUCAGGUGAGCGAUGUGG